Non-coding RNA from Xyrauchen texanus (razorback sucker), 82 nucleotides. NCBI's taxonomy places the organism in Eukaryota, Metazoa, Chordata, Actinopteri, Cypriniformes, Catostomidae. The record is from the annotation of a RefSeq genome assembly.
GUAGUUGUGGCCAAGUGAUUAAGGCGAUGAACUAGAAAUUCAUUGGGGUUUCCCCACGCAGGUUCAAAUCCUGCCGAUUAUG